This 482-nucleotide ribosomal RNA is filed under the name uncultured bacterium. RNAcentral describes it as "bacterial SSU rRNA". It matches the Rfam family "Bacterial small subunit ribosomal RNA", at positions 30 to 507 of the family's 1533-position model. The record is from RNAcentral.
AUUGAACGCUGGCGGCAUGCCUUACACAUGCAAGUCGAACGGCAGCGGGCCUUCGGGUGCCGGCGAGUGGCGAACGGGUGAGUAAUGCAUCGGAACGUGCCAUUGAGUGGGGGAUAACGUAGCGAAAGUUGCGCUAAUACCGCAUAUUCUGUGAGCAGGAAAGCAGGGGACCGCAAGGCCUUGCGCUCUUUGAGCGGCCGAUGUCAGAUUAGCUAGUUGGUGGGGUAAAGGCCUACCAAGGCGACGACCUGUAGCGGGUCUGAGAGGAUGAUCCGCCACACUGGAACUGAGACACGGUCCAGACUCCUACGGGAGGCAGCAGUGGGGAAUUUUGGACAAUGGGGGCAACCCUGAUCCAGCCAUGCCGCGUGAGUGAAGAAGGCCUUCGGGUUGUAAAGCUCUUUCGGCCGGGAAGAAAUCGCAUGGGCCAAUACCCUGUGUGGAUGACGGUACCGGAACAAGAAGCACCGGCUAACUACGUG